GCCAGACUCCUACGGGAGGCAGCAGUGGGGAAUAUUGCACAAUGGGGGAAACCCUGAUGCAGCGACGCCGCGUGAGUGAGGAAGUAUUUCGGUAUGUAAAGCUCUAUCAGCAGGGAAGAAAAUGACGGUACCUGACUAAGAAGCCCCGGCUAACUAUGUGCCAGCAGCCGCGGUAAUACGUAGGGGGCAAGCGUUAUCCGGAUUUACUGGGUGUAAAGGGGGCGCAGACGGCGAUGCAAGCCAGGAGUGAAAGCCCGGGGCCCAACCCCGGGACUGCUCUUGGAACUGCGUGGCUGGAGUGCAGGAGGGGCAGGCGGAAUUCCUGGUGUAGCGGUGAAAUGCGUAGAUACCAGGAGGAACACCGGUGGCGAAGGCGGCCUGCUGGACUGCAACUGGCGUUGAGGCCCGAAAGCGUGGGGAGCAAACAGGAUUAGAUACCCCAGUAAC
Molecule: ribosomal RNA, 447 nt
Filed under: uncultured bacterium
Lineage: Bacteria
Description: bacterial SSU rRNA
Rfam family: Bacterial small subunit ribosomal RNA
Source: RNAcentral